Danio aesculapii is the source of this 2813-nucleotide long non-coding RNA. RefSeq lists it as uncharacterized. NCBI's taxonomy places the organism in Eukaryota, Metazoa, Chordata, Actinopteri, Cypriniformes, Danionidae. The record is from RefSeq and is a predicted model, not a curated record. The transcript is spliced from 4 exons.
UUGUUUGACUGUCGAGCAUUCUUGCUUAGCUUAUUUGCUCUGCGUCUUGUUUUAAAGACAAUGAAGAUAUGAAAGGAAGACUUGAGGAGCCACUGAUCGUCUGAGUCCGGUUAAUGUCAUACACCAUGGUCAGUCCCGGAUCAGUCCUGACCUGUAUUCUGCUGCCUUUAUUGCACUUAAAACUUGAUCACCUGGACUGGAUCCAGCUGCAAACUCAGCCGGCAGUAAGGAAGUCGGAAGAAAUGGACUUUGAUUGCUCUGUGUUGGAAGCUUGUAAAAGUCUCUAACACACAAGCAUGCGUUUUAUACACUGUGUGUGGUGGGAAAGGAAAGAGCAACUGAUUGGAUGAAACCCAUUGAAAGGAAAAUAAGAAGUGGAAGUGUGUGUGUUAUGGAUCAUCUGUUUUCAGGUUUUGAGUUGGUCUUCAUCUUCAUUGCCUUCACAAUCAUGUGCUUAUUUGGCCUGGCUGCCAUCUACACAUAUAAUACAGAUCAUCAAGGUGAUUAAAUUCAGACAGAGGAGAUCACAUAACAACUCCAAGAAAAUGUCCUGCCUAAACAGGCGUGGCUCACCAAAAGAUGUUAACCACUGGACAAAAGUGAAAUCUGAAAUCACAUACAUGCACCUGGUUUAUAGUAGGUGAAAAAACAGUAUGUGACAAAAAAGAAGAAGCAAGCCUGAAUUUAAAAAGUGGGAAAAGGGUAUAAGGAUGACAACAUGGCAACUAAAUGUCCAGAUUAUAUUUAUAUUACACUGUAUUGGCACUCUAUAAUUGCCACUGAUUAAACACCCAGCCUCAGGUGAUGCCAGAUUGUAGUUUUGGAGACUGUUUGAACCCAAGACUUGGAGAUUCUUGGCCACUUGAACCAUUGUCUUAUGACAGUAGCUGGGUUUCCCUCACCCUGUGUCAACGCACACUUUGAAAGAGCAAUGGAAAUGCCGAUUUUUUUAAGAAAAAAUCCCUUAGUUAGCAAACAACGUUUUUAUAAACACACUUGAGCUGGUUUUGGACUUGUGUGAAAAAGGUUUAAUGCUAAUAAUGAGAAAUGGAAACUCGUUUUCAGAAUAUGCUGAUGUAGCGAACAUUAAACCCACAUGAUACCAUUAUGCUUGCCUUGUUUACUGUUAGUUUCUAGGUUACCAAUACCACAGACGGUUGCUCUAAAAACCUGAUGGAAAUGCACCUAAUUCAGAUUUGGGUUUUUUUUAAUGAAAUUUGAAAAGAUUCGCUUUAUGUUAGGAUGGAAACCCAGCUAUAGUGAUAAAGUGAUUCAACUGAUUCAUAUGCCUAGGAGUUGAGUGUAAUUUGUUAACGAUUUCUCUAAUGUCAGAAACUCUUGUAUGUCGAGGCAUUUUCUGUGUUAUUGUUAUUUUUAUAAGAGCCACUUCCUAUUUUGUAAAGCUCAGCAACACUUUUGCUGUAAAUCACAGUUCUGUUCUUUAGUUCUUCCCCAUUGAGAUGAAUGACUGAGUGAGUCUGGCCUUUGUGUUACCUCAUAUUUAUAGCUCUGUGAAACAGGAGGUCGUGAAUCUAGUCACCCAUGUGUAAAAAUAGGAAAGAAAAAUAUCAAUGUGGAUGUACCUUAAAAAAUGCUCAUAUAAAUUCAUAGGAGUGUCAAUAAUAGUGGCACACAUACAUUUAACAGACAUGUUUGUUUUUCAUAAAACAAAUGGAUCAAUUUUAUGUUAUUAUUAUAAGCAAAAACAGAUCAAAAGGCUAAACAACAAAGCCAUUUUCACAGCCUUUUUUGCUCAUAUUUCAUCUUAAGGGUGCCAAUAUUAGUGUAACGCACUGUAGAAUGCACAUUUAAAUGGUUGCCAAGUAAUUACUUAAUCUCCUCAAGAGAGCAUGUGAUUUUGGAGACAGCCAGCCUGUGUAUCUGAAGAUCUCUGAGACUGAGAUUUCCCUCAGCUGUCUCUGAUUGGCUUGAAUGUAUGACCCCGAUAGGUAAUUAACCAGUGAAAGAAACGUAAAGAGGAUUUAUUGAAACUGAAACCCCUCCUCUUUCCCCUCUUAAAGCUGCUUUCAUUUGUAAUGUAAUUUAAAACCUGUUGGGAGUUCUUAUGUUACCUGUUCCUACGCUUUGGAAGGCAGACUUUUGGUGGUGGAAGUCUUUGGCUACAUAAAUAGGAAAAUGUGUAUUACUCAAUGUAUUUUGUAAAAUUAUUUUAACUGUAUAUACACAAUUUAUUUCUAUUAUGUAAUAUUGUAAUAUUUAUAUAAUGCUUUGGCUGUUUUGUAUUUAUUUUUCCACAUAUAGCUUUGUCACUUUUAUACGUUAAAAUAAUAUAACAGUAAUCAAAAAUGGUUGCUUUCUUUGUUUAUUGUCUAUUUUAUUUUUUCAAGGGAACAAUUUAUUUCAAAAUGUAAAUGUAUUUUGUUUAUUAAAAUGUGAAAUAAAUGUCUUGAUGUGUCUUAAAAUGUCUUUAAUCAGUGUAAUAGUGAGCUAUAUGUAAAGAUUAACCAGCAAAUUUACUUCUGUACUUAUUCACAUGUAUAAAAGGAUGGAUCAUAUCAUAUAUUAUUAAAUACAAUUUAAAUGAUUAAAGUUUUGUUCUAAAAACAAGAUAUUUUGGUAAGCUAUUCAAAUUCUUACACUGAAUGAACUGUUAGUGGGUGUUUUCAAUAAAUCAUUUUAAAAAUGUAUGAUAGUACUUGUUUUCUAGACAUAGUCAUAUGUAUCUAGCCAAUUGAAGCUCUAAUACAGUAUUUAUUGUUUAUAUUUUGACCCAUUGAUAUAUGCAUUUUAAAAUAUAUACAAAAACUGCCAAAAAUCUAUUUAUAUUCAACCAUGUUGUCUUCAACUUAUAU